GGGCACAUGGUGUAGUUGGUUAUCACAUCCGCUUAGCACUCCAGCUUGCGGGGGGUGCCCGGUUCAAUUCCGGGUGUGUCCA
Non-coding RNA from Obba rivulosa, 82 nucleotides. The record is from the annotation of a GenBank genome assembly. Lineage: Eukaryota; Fungi; Basidiomycota; Agaricomycetes; Polyporales; Gelatoporiaceae.